CCAGCAUUAAUCCUAUGAUUACUAAAAUGACCUCUAAUGGAAAUGCAGUCUGUCCCGAAGCAGACAUAAGCAUGGACAUGACUGAAGCUCAAACUGGCUACAUUUUGGAAGGGGAUGCAGGCACAGCUACAGAUGCCCGUCUUCAGGAUCUUUUUCCCACACAAAGCAUACACCCCCAAAGUGGUAAUGUCAGAAAAGCUGACUGGCAGAACAGUAAAGCAACUGUAUUAUCAAGCUGUAAAGGUAAAGAAAACUUCCUGAAGACUUCUGGAAACACAAAGGUGCAAAGACAGCAGGUUAAGCUUGAUGUGGAAGAUGACUGCAAAGAGAAGACAGUGGUUCCUGCUGAUGAUGCCCUUAUGGAAGUU
Pelmatolapia mariae (spotted tilapia) is the source of this 368-nucleotide long non-coding RNA. RefSeq lists it as uncharacterized. The transcript is spliced from 3 exons. The record is from RefSeq and is a predicted model, not a curated record. Lineage: Eukaryota; Metazoa; Chordata; Actinopteri; Cichliformes; Cichlidae.